GACCUCAGAUCAGGUAGGACCACCGCCUGAACUUAAGCAUAUCAAUAAGGCGAGGAACAGAAACCAACAGGGAUUCCCCUAGUAGUGGCGAAUGAAGCGGGAAAAGCUCAAGUUUGAAAUCUGGCGGGCUCGUUCUGUCAGAGUUGUAAGCUGAAGAGGCAUCGACCGGCGUCGUCCGGGCCCAAUUUCCUUGGAACAGGAAGUCAUUGAGGGUGAGAACCCCGUCUGCGGCUCGGAGCCUUCGUCCUUGUGUCGUGUCCUCGAAGAGUCGGGUUGUUUGGGAAUGCAGCUCAAAAUGGGUGGUAAAUUCCAUCUAAGGCUAAAUAUUGACGAGAGACCGAUAGCGAACAAGUAGAGUGAUCGAAAGAUGAAAAGUACUUUGAAAAGAGAGUGAAACAGUACGUGAAAUUGUUGAAAGGGAAGCGU
This 426-nucleotide ribosomal RNA is filed under the name uncultured fungus. Its description in RNAcentral is "eukaryotic LSU rRNA". It matches the Rfam family "Eukaryotic large subunit ribosomal RNA", at positions 1 to 422 of the family's 3401-position model. The record is from RNAcentral. Lineage: Eukaryota; Fungi.